This is an RNA transcript of Cebus imitator (Panamanian white-faced capuchin), 592 nucleotides long. It is a transcript of the gene named H/ACA ribonucleoprotein complex subunit 3-like, with no coding region annotated. The transcript has a single exon. The record is from RefSeq and is a predicted model, not a curated record. NCBI's taxonomy places the organism in Eukaryota, Metazoa, Chordata, Mammalia, Primates, Cebidae.
UUUAUUAUUUAUUAAGGUAAACAUUUUUAUAUUAAAACAAACAGACAUAAGAUGAAGUAGAAUAUAAGAAUCAUAUGAUUUCAAAGACAAGACUUUUAAAGAGAGUUUGCCCUGGGAGCUGCGUACCGAAUUGGAGCCUCUGGCUUAAGAGUGAUCAUGUUUCUCCAGUAAUACCUCAACGAGGAGGGAGAUCGGGUCUAUACGCUGAAGAAAUUUGACCCGAUGGGACAACAGACCUGCUCAGCCCAUCCUGCUCGGCUCUCCCCAGAUGACAAAUACUCCUGCCACCGAAUCACCAUCAAGAAACGCUUCAAGGUGCUCAAGACCCAGUAACCGUGCCCUAUCCUCUGAAAGUCCGUUAAACUGAUGUCUCUUCUGCUGCCUGUUACCCCUCAGAGAUUCCAUAACCAAACUCCUCAAUCUGUGAGCCCUGAUGCCUUUUUGCCAGCCAUACUCUGUGGCAUCCAGUGUCAUCAUGGCGAUUGAUUAUGUUUGUGUGAGCCUAUCCUGGUGGCAUCACCCGUAAAGGGAGCAUGUUUGACUUUUCUCAUAUUUUAAAUUACUGUGAGAUUAUUAAAGAUAAAAUGAUUUG